ACGCUUGAAGUCAGUCGCGUCCUUUGGGAUUCAGCCUUGCUUCUGCUCGGUUUACUUCCUUUGGGACGGGUCAACGUCAGUUUCGACCGGAGGAGAAAGGCUUGGGGAAGGUGGCUUCGUUCGCGGAGUGUUAUAGCCCCUCGUUGUAUACUUCGGACGGGACUGAGGACCGCAGCGCGCCUUCAUGGCCGGGGUUCGCCCACGUAACGCGCUUAGGAUGUUGGCAUAAUGGCUUUAAGCGACCCGUCUUGAAACACGGACCAAGGAGUC
This 270-nucleotide ribosomal RNA is filed under the name uncultured Tremellodendron. Its description in RNAcentral is "partial large subunit ribosomal RNA". The record is from RNAcentral. Lineage: Eukaryota; Fungi; Basidiomycota; Agaricomycetes; Sebacinales; Sebacinaceae.